This 253-nucleotide ribosomal RNA is filed under the name uncultured bacterium. Its description in RNAcentral is "partial 16S ribosomal RNA". It matches the Rfam family "Bacterial small subunit ribosomal RNA", at positions 524 to 776 of the family's 1533-position model. The record is from RNAcentral.
UACGAAGGGGGCUAGCGUUGCUCGGAAUCACUGGGCGUAAAGCGCACGUAGGCGGUUUGCUAAGUCAGGGGUGAAAUCCUGGAGCUCAACUCCAGAACUGCCUUUGAUACUGGCGGACUUGAGUCCGGGAGAGGUGAGUGGAACUGCGAGUGUAGAGGUGAAAUUCGUAGAUAUUCGCAAGAACACCAGUGGCGAAGGCGGCUCACUGGCCCGGUACUGACGCUGAGGUGCGAAAGCGUGGGGAGCAAACAGG